Non-coding RNA from Pelobates cultripes (western spadefoot toad), 358 nucleotides. The record is from the annotation of a GenBank genome assembly. Lineage: Eukaryota; Metazoa; Chordata; Amphibia; Anura; Pelobatidae.
GAGACUGCUGCCCCUUCAUUUCACUCCAGUGAGGACAUUGAUGUUAAAAAGUGGGUAUCCACCAAACAUAUACCAUACAUCAACCUAUCUUCACAGGAAUACUUGACAAUGUAACUAUUUUAACAAAACCAUAUAAUGUAUGUAGCAACACUCUACAAUUUCAUAACACUGAUAACAAUUGUAAAUAUCACAUAAAACAAAUCUACCAACAAGAAUCCAAUUCUUUAACAAAAAUAUAUACCCAGUCCCAUUUUCAUAAAUCAUUUAAAGGGUAACUCCAAGCACCAUGAUCGCUUGAUUCAUUUAAUAAGCGAUAAGAGUACAGAUACACAAAUGCAACAACGUACCCCAAGACAGA